Molecule: long non-coding RNA, 615 nt
Organism: Fukomys damarensis (Damara mole-rat)
Lineage: Eukaryota; Metazoa; Chordata; Mammalia; Rodentia; Bathyergidae
Source: Ensembl
CUAGUAGAAGCAUUUUAAACUUUGAUAUCACUAUCCAUCCUGAAGAAAAUAAGCUUUCAUCAUAACCCUUUCUAUUAGGGAGCAGGAAUCCAUGGACUGCUUAUGCACAGAGGCCUGAUGAGAUGAAAGCUAUGGUUUCGGAAGAAUUUACACGUUGGGUGUUACACAUAUGAGACGCUGACCUUGGCAUUGGAAUGCAUAGAACAGAGGCAUGCCCUCUAUCUUCCAGGAGUGGAUAAACUGGAGAUAACUUCUAGCACUGUAUCACAUGCCUACCAAUCCUAACAGUCAGGAGGCUGAAGCAGGAGGAUCCCAAGAUUGAGCCGUCAGCUCAGGUAACUUAGUGACCUAGUGAGAACUGUCUCAAAAUAAAAAAGAAAGGAAGGAAAAAAGGCUGGGUAUAUUGCUCAGUGUGAAGGCCCUGGUUUCAACUCUCAGUACUAAAAAAAAAAAAAAAAAAAAAAAGGAAUGGGGGAGAGGGGGAAAGUUCUGAUAACUGGUGAGAAACAGGCAAAAUCAGAAAAUCACGAAUAGACCCCACUAUCAAUACUUCUGCAACACUAGGUAUAUAAUGCAAAACUAUUUUAAGGAAAAUUAGCACAAAAAAUAAGAAUU